GCUAGAAUGGGAGUGGUUGAGGCGGAGAAGGAGAGGAGGAGUAAAUAAGUGAAUAAGAUAGGGGUAAAAUGGGAAUUAGAAAUGGGAAAACUUUUGAUGCAUGCCACCAUUUUUAAUUUUGUUUUCCCUGCAAGAAAUGGUGGCUCUAGCAGAGAGAGAUGGAAUUGCAAGGAAAGAAGAGAUACAGUGAAUACUAGUGAAG
RNAcentral lists this unclassified non-coding RNA (202 nucleotides) under Hevea brasiliensis (rubber tree). The record is from RNAcentral. Lineage: Eukaryota; Viridiplantae; Streptophyta; Magnoliopsida; Malpighiales; Euphorbiaceae.